This 497-nucleotide ribosomal RNA is filed under the name uncultured bacterium. Its description in RNAcentral is "partial 16S ribosomal RNA". It matches the Rfam family "Bacterial small subunit ribosomal RNA", at positions 28 to 507 of the family's 1533-position model. The record is from RNAcentral.
GAUGAACGCUGGCGGCGUGCCUAAUACAUGCAAGUCGAGCGAACAGACGAGGAGCUUGCUCCUCUGACGUUAGCGGCGGACGGGUGAGUAACACGUGGAUAACCUACCUAUAAGACUGGGAUAACUUCGGGAAACCGGAGCUAAUACCGGAUAAUAUAUUGAACCGCAUGGUUCAAUAGUGAAAGACGGUUUUGCUGUCACUGAUAGAUGGAUCCGCGCCGCAUUAGCUAGUUGGUAAGGUAACGGCUUACCAAGGCGACGAUGCGUAGCCGACCUGAGAGGGUGGUCGGCCGCACUGGAACUGAGACACGGACCAGACUCCUACGGGAGGCCGCAGUAGGGAAUCGUCCGCAAUGGGCGGAAGCCUGGCGGAGCGACGCCGCGUGAGUGAUGAAGGUGUUCGGAUCGGAAAGCUCUGUUAUGGGGGAAAAACAAAUGUGGAAGGAACUGUACACGUCUUGACGGUACCUAAUCAGAAAGCCACGGCUAACUACGUG